GAUGAACGCUGGCGGCGUGCUUAACACAUGCAAGUCGAACGGUGAAGGCGGAGCUUGCUCUGCUGGAUCAGUGGCGAACGGGUGAGUAACACGUGAGCAAUCUGCCCCUGACUCUGGGAUAAGCGCUGGAAACGGCGUCUAAUACUGGAUACGAGCUGCGAAGGCAUCUUCAGCAGCUGGAAAGAACUUCGGUCAGGGAUGAGCUCGCGGCCUAUCAGCUUGUUGGUGAGGUAACGGCUCACCAAGGCGUCGACGGGUAGCCGGCCUGAGAGGGUGACCGGCCACAAGAGGACUACGGGACGGACCAGAAUCGUACGGGAGGCAACAGGGGGGAGUAUUACACAAUGGGCGAGAGCCUGAUGCAGCAACGCCGCGUGAGGGACGACGGCCUUCGGGUUGUAAACCUCUGUGAGCGGGGAAGAAGCGAAAGUGACGGUACCUGCAGAGAAAGCGCCGGCUAACUACGUG
RNAcentral lists this ribosomal RNA (468 nucleotides) under uncultured bacterium. RNAcentral describes it as "partial 16S ribosomal RNA". It matches the Rfam family "Bacterial small subunit ribosomal RNA", at positions 28 to 507 of the family's 1533-position model. The record is from RNAcentral.